UUGACAGAAGAAAGGGAGCAC
Molecule: microRNA, 21 nt
Filed under: Glycine max (soybean)
Lineage: Eukaryota; Viridiplantae; Streptophyta; Magnoliopsida; Fabales; Fabaceae
Description: gma-miR156t
Gene: gma-miR156p
Source: miRBase by way of RNAcentral